AGAAGCCCAGCACCGAAGCGCCCGUCCCAACGGGGCGGGAGGGCAAUGUGGUGUUUAGGAAUAGCGCGACCGAAGGUUGAUCUAAGCGCAAGUCCUCCUGACUGAGGCUCUCGCCCAUUGAGGGUGCAAGGCCCGUCGUCGCUUAUGAUCUCCGGCGGAAGCAAAAUUCCUUGGAGUCGGGUUGCUUGAGAGUGCAGCCCUAAGUGGGUGGUAAACUCCAUCUAAGGCUAAAUACGACCACGAAACCGAUAGCGAACAAGUACCGUGAGGGAAAGUUGAAAAGAACUUUGAAGAGAGAGUUCAAGAGUGCGUGAAACCGUUUAGAGGUAAACGGGUGGGCCCUCGAAGGUGAUCGUCGGAGGGAUUCAGUCGGACGUGACCGUAAGCGUCGUUCGUCUCUAACGGUGCGGACCUCGGUCGGCCGGGCGGGCGAAGGCUGCGGGCCGUUUGGCGCAUUUCCUUCCGUUCGAACUACGCUGCGACCAGUCUGGUCACUGAAAGUUGUCGUCCUUGAAAACGGGCGAUGGAAGGUGGCCGGCGGCGUCUCUCGGGAUGCCGUCGGUGUUUAUAGCCGGUUCGUUUCACGAGUGAGCGUUCAUCAGACUGGGGACGAUUCUAGCCCUGUGCGGGCUACGCCGAGCACUCCGUUUACGGAGCGUUGCGGGGUGACUGGAUGUGCCUGCGGUCGGGAGUUUCACCUUUGCGUGGGCUACCGCACGGACCAAGGAGUCUAACAUGUGCGCGAGUCAUUGGGUCUUGAAUAGGCCCAAAGGCGUAAUGAAAGUGAAGGGCGGUUCGGCCGUCUGCCUUGGGAUCCGGUGAACCUCGCGUUCGCCGGCGCACCAAGGGCCCGUCCCGGUCGCCUCGUCGACGGGGCGGAGCAAGAGCGUACACGUUGGGACCCGAAAGAUGGUGAACUAUGCCUGGGCAGGACGAAGCCAGAGGAAACUCUGGUGGAGGUCCGCAGCGAUUCUGACGUGCAAAUCGGGGGCCCGAUGCGAGACGCUCAUGAGAUCCCAUGAAAGGUGUUGGUUGCUAUAGACAGCAGGACGGUGGCCAUGGAAGUCGGAAUCCGCUAAGGAAAAUGGAUGGCGCUUCAGCGUCGACCCCAUACCCGGCCGCCGCGGCCGAAAAGCCUCGUGUUUUAAGCCGCGGUGAGUAGGAGGGGCGCGGAGGCGAGCGUCGAAGGUGCCGGGCGUAAGCCCGCCUGGAGCCGCCUCCGGCGCAGAUCUUGGUGGUAGUAGCAAAUACUCAAGUGAGAACCUUGAGGACUGAGGUGGAGAAGGGUUCCAUGUGAACAGCAGUUGAACAUGGGUCAGUCGGUCCUAAGGGAUAGGAGAAAUCCGUUCCGAGGCGGGACCUCUCAAUAAUACGAAAGUCCCGCUGAUGACCGAAAGGGAAUCGGGUUAAUAUUCCCGAACCCGGACGCGGAGAUCGUCCUCUUCGGAGGUACAUUGCGGUAACGCAAACGAGCUCGGAGACGUCGACGGGAGCACCGGGAAGAGUUAUCUUUUCUUUGUAAGGAUUCGACUCCCUGGAAUCGGCUCGCCCGGAGAUAGGGAUGGUGUUUCCGUAAAGCACCGCGCCUCUUGCGGUGUCCGGAUCGCUCCCGUCGGCCCUUUUAAUUCCGAGUGAGAGAUAGUGAUUUUCGUGCCGGACC
Molecule: ribosomal RNA, 1660 nt
Filed under: Pantopsalis phocator
Lineage: Eukaryota; Metazoa; Arthropoda; Arachnida; Opiliones; Neopilionidae
Description: eukaryotic LSU rRNA
Rfam family: Eukaryotic large subunit ribosomal RNA
Source: RNAcentral